Molecule: ribosomal RNA, 935 nt
Filed under: Pediococcus acidilactici
Lineage: Bacteria; Bacillati; Bacillota; Bacilli; Lactobacillales; Lactobacillaceae
Description: bacterial SSU rRNA
Rfam family: Bacterial small subunit ribosomal RNA
Source: RNAcentral
UGUUGUUAAAGAAGAACGUGGGUGAGAGUAACUGUUCACCCAGUGACGGUAUUUAACCAGAAAGCCACGGCUAACUACGUGCCAGCAGCCGCGGUAAUACGUAGGUGGCAAGCGUUAUCCGGAUUUAUUGGGCGUAAAGCGAGCGCAGGCGGUCUUUUAAGUCUAAUGUGAAAGCCUUCGGCUCAACCGAAGAAGUGCAUUGGAAACUGGGAGACUUGAGUGCAGAAGAGGACAGUGGAACUCCAUGUGUAGCGGUGAAAUGCGUAGAUAUAUGGAAGAACACCAGUGGCGAAGGCGGCUGUCUGGUCUGUAACUGACGCUGAGGCUCGAAAGCAUGGGUAGCGAACAGGAUUAGAUACCCUGGUAGUCCAUGCCGUAAACGAUGAUUACUAAGUGUUGGAGGGUUUCCGCCCUUCAGUGCUGCAGCUAACGCAUUAAGUAAUCCGCCUGGGGAGUACGACCGCAAGGUUGAAACUCAAAAGAAUUGACGGGGGCCCGCACAAGCGGUGGAGCAUGUGGUUUAAUUCGAAGCUACGCGAAGAACCUUACCAGGUCUUGACAUCUUCUGCCAACCUAAGAGAUUAGGCGUUCCCUUCGGGGACAGAAUGACAGGUGGUGCAUGGUUGUCGUCAGCUCGUGUCGUGAGAUGUUGGGUUAAGUCCCGCAACGAGCGCAACCCUUAUUACUAGUUGCCAGCAUUCAGUUGGGCACUCUAGUGAGACUGCCGGUGACAAACCGGAGGAAGGUGGGGACGACGUCAAAUCAUCAUGCCCCUUAUGACCUGGGCUACACACGUGCUACAAUGGAUGGUACAACGAGUCGCGAAACCGCGAGGUUUAGCUAAUCUCUUAAAACCAUUCUCAGUUCGGACUGUAGGCUGCAACUCGCCUACACGAAGUCGGAAUCGCUAGUAAUCGCGGAUCAGCAUGCCGCGG